GAUGAAGAACGUAGCGAAAUGCGAUACUUGGUGUGAAUUGCAGAAUCCCGUGAACCAUCGAGUCUUUGAACGCAAGUUGCGCCCGAAGCCAUCAGGUUGAGGGCACGUCUGCCUGGGCGUCACAUAUCGUUGCCCAAUGCCUAUUGCAGUGCAAUAGGAAUUUCUAGGGCGAAUGAUGGCUUCCCGUGAGCGUUGUUGCCUCGCGGUUGGUUGAAAAUCGAGUCCUUGGUAGGGUGUGCCAUGGUAGAUGGUGGUCGAGUUAGAACGAUACCGAUCAUGUGCAUGCUCCCCAAAAUAUGGCCUCUAUGACCCACACGCGUCUUUUGACGCUCAUGACGAGACCUCAGGUCAGUCGGGGCUACCCGCUGAAUUUAAGCAUAUCAAUAAGCGGAGUA
This 395-nucleotide unclassified non-coding RNA is filed under the name soil metagenome. RNAcentral's name for it is "partial contains 5.8S ribosomal RNA, internal transcribed spacer 2, and large subunit ribosomal RNA". The stretch from base 1 to 122 matches the Rfam family "5.8S ribosomal RNA", at positions 35 to 154 of the family's 154-position model. The record is from RNAcentral.